This 302-nucleotide ribosomal RNA is filed under the name Klebsiella pneumoniae. Its description in RNAcentral is "bacterial LSU rRNA". It matches the Rfam family "Bacterial large subunit ribosomal RNA", at positions 2073 to 2375 of the family's 2925-position model. The record is from RNAcentral. Lineage: Bacteria; Pseudomonadati; Pseudomonadota; Gammaproteobacteria; Enterobacterales; Enterobacteriaceae.
CGGCAAGACGGAAAGACCCCGUGAACCUUUACUAUAGCUUGACACUGAACAUUGAGCCUUGAUGUGUAGGAUAGGUGGGAGGCUUUGAAGCGUGGACGCCAGUCUGCGUGGAGCCAACCUUGAAAUACCACCCUUUAAUGUUUGAUGUUCUAACGUUGGCCCCUUACCGGGGUUGCGGACAGUGUCUGGUGGGUAGUUUGACUGGGCGGUCUCCUCCCAAAGCGUAACGGAGGAGCACGAAGGUUAGCUAAUCCUGGUCGGACAUCAGGAGGUUAGUGCAAUGGCAUAAGCUAGCUUGACUG